Molecule: long non-coding RNA, 30291 nt
Filed under: Populus tremula
Lineage: Eukaryota; Viridiplantae; Streptophyta; Magnoliopsida; Malpighiales; Salicaceae
Description: long non-coding RNA (PTRE_LNC002075)
Source: RNAcentral
AGUAAAAGGAGCAUACUUUGAAAUAUGGUAUCGUCUUGUGAGCAAAGAAAAGAGAUUGUAAGUAGGAAUUUGAAGCAUUGCUGCUCUCGUUUAUGUUGCUUUGCUUGUCAAUCAUUUGUUGACUGCUUGCUUGUUUGAUCACACUUAUUUUCAAGUAUUAUUUGUCAUAAUACUUGAAAACUUUGUGGACUUUUGUUGAAACUCAAGGCAACUGCUGAGCCACUUUGAGCCCGUUUGGCUCUGCGGCUGCAUUUUAUUUAAAACGCAGUUCGCAACUAUUUGGUUAAGGAAAAAAUCAAUUUAUUGUUCAUUGGGCCCCACUUAAUUUCUGCGUUAAAAACACAGGAAAAGAAAAGCAGCCAUUUCUUACUCUCUUUUUUCACUGUUCAUGUUAAUUGCACUGUUUAUUGGACAGUGCAAUUAACAUGAACAGUGUAUAGUGCACACUGUUCACUUAAAAAAUCGUGAACAGUGCAAUUAUCUUGCAUUGUUCACUUGCCUGCGUAAACUUUUUUUUUUUUUAGUGUGUUAUUUUUUAAACAUUUUUUUAAAAAAAAACUAGUUUAGAGUGAAUUUUAUACCUGAUAAUAUUUUAUUUAAUUUUAUUACAUGCUAAAAAUAUUAUGAAAACUGUAGUUUUUAUCGGAUAUAUUUCGUACGUAAUGGAAUUAUAAAUGGUUUAAUGGAAUAAUAAAAAAUAUUUUAUAUAAAGUAUGAUUUAUUUCAUGAUAUAAUAGCAAUAAUUAAAUCCACAAUAUUUAAAUUAAAAAUCAUCAGUAUUAAUAUAUAUUUUUAAAAUUAUUUUAUAACCUCAAUUUUAAAAGUAUUCUUAACCAAACACAUUAAACUAUUUUUUCUUCAACUUCAAUUUCAAUCACAGUUUUAACCAAAUACCUAUUUUUUCAAAUCAACCUCAACUAAAAGUACUUUUUAUAAAACAAUUUUUUUCAAAUCACAACAACAACAGCUACCGCAAUACCAAACACACUCUUUUUAUACGAGGUGUGCUCAAUAAGUAAGCAUAGAGGCCCAUUCCUCCUCGUGUCUGGUCUUCUUUGUCCAGCUCUCAAUUAUGUACUCAUAUUUGACUACAAGGCUGCUGGCAUGGUAUCUUUAUAUUAACACGAAAACAUUGUUUUUCAUGGGUUUUUCUACCCAGUUCUCAAUAAAUUAGGCCUAUGUUAUGUAGCGAGUACUUUGCUAAUCGGUACUUUGCUAAAGUCACAACAACCACAUGCGAGUGAUGUUGAAAUUGAAAAAUUAUGAGAAGAGAUCUUUCCAAAUUGGUUAAAAAAUAAUGUAAGUAUUUUAAUAAAAUUAAUUUAUAUUUUAUGUCAAUUAGUUACUUUAAAAACAUUACUAAUCUCUUUUAAAUCACUAUUUUUUAUGAAGUUAACUAUUAUGCUAGGUGGAAUACCAAUGUAACAUAAUUGAAAAUUAACUCUUUGGACUUGCUAUGGGCCCUUCAACUUCAGUGAAAUGUUAUAAUGGGUAUUAUGUGAAUGGUUUUAAAUUUCAUACUCAAAGUUAUGGGCGUUUUAAAAAGACAAUGAAUAGUGGAGUUUGUGUGAAGGGAAGUUGUUAUGAUGAUAAUGAACGUGAUUAUUAUGGAAUGCUUAAAGAAGUUGUUCGGCUUAAAAACUUGGGGAGUAAGUGCAAGUUAUUUAUGUUUAAAUGUAAUUGGUAUUAUUAGAGUGCAUCGUUCGAAUGGUUUGAUUGAAAUCAAGCACACAUCUCAACUACACGGAAAUGAAGAUUUUGUGUUAGCACAACAAUGUCAACAAGUCUACUAUACAUAUCCACUUGGUAAUAAAUCAUCUGAAUGGUGGACGGUUAUUAAGACAACUGCUAGAAGUCGUUAUAAUGUUGACAUGGGUGAAUUUAUUGAAGAUGCCAACAAUGUGAGAUCAUUUGAUGUUGAUCAAUCAGAUGAGAUUUAUCAACCAUGUCGUGUCCUUCCUACCCAAACACUUGAUGAUCAAAAUAUACUUGUUGAAUCAUCUUAUUAUGAAGAAAUCAACAUGAAUUGAUUCAACUUGACAUAAAUUGGGGAAACAAUGAAAAGAAGAAGAAAAAGAUGAGAGAAUGAUGAUGGUGAUGAGGAUGAUUGAGGUGAUGAGAGAAAAAACAUGAUUGUUGUGAUGAUUGAGGUUAGGAGUGAUGAUAAUAAUGAGUAGCACAAGUUAAUUAUAUUUCGUAGUAUAUGUAAUGAAUUAUCUUUAUUAUAUGUAUGGAUGAUUUCAUAUUAUUUGACAAUUUAUUUAGGCUUUCAAUGUUUUUUUAUUAUUUUAUUGAAGUGUGUGUUAUGCAUCACAUUACAUAUCAUUUUCAUUGACCUUUGAAACCAUUUAUAACCUUUCAAGUAUCAAUCUUUAAAUUGUGAUUCUGAUGUUAUAGUUUAUUUGUGAUUUGUCUUCUUUUUGAUAGAUGCUGGAGCAUGAAUGAAAGGGUUCUCCUACUCAAUGUUUGGAUUUAUAGGAAAAACAUUAAGGUAAGCAUACUCAUAAAUUUUGAUUUUGCUUAAUUAAUUAUUUAGAUUUUUAUUUUUUAUUGUUUGUGUUAAUUGGCUUUUGACAAUUUAAACUUCAUGGCUGAUUUUUAUUAUUGCAAGGAAUGCUUAAUGAAAUGGUCUUGAUGUUAUUUAUAUAUUUGUUUUUAUUAUAGUAAUUAUUUUAUUUGAAGUAUAAUAUUUUUUGAAGUUAUGGCUAUUAAGUGGACAAUCCAUACUGAUUUUGAAAAUCAUAAACUGGAUAUUGUUUGUAAUGAAUUGAAAAACAAAUGAGAUUUAACAGUUUGUUUUCAUUCUAGUUAUGGCAGUCUUGGGAAAAUAUCUGUGAAUUUUUUGUUCUUGAUAGUUUAACUAUGAGCUAAUUUAUUAUUAUGCUGUAUAUAUUCAUAUGAUAAUGUAUAUGUUUUUUCUGGUUUUUAGCAUGCCUCGACGAGGAUCCAUAUUAGAUUCUAGGAGUGACAGGUCCACUUCAGAUUAUGGGAGGGUUGAAUUCUAGGUCCACUUCAAGGAGUGACAGGUCCACUUCAUCCAAAUCAUUUCAAACUACAUCAAGGCAUAAUAACAAAGGAUCCACAUCUCAUCAACCUGUGUAUCAAAACGCAAAUGAGUAUUAUAUACCUACUUUUGGGAGUACACAUCCUCCUCAACAUGAUUAUGGGAGGAUUGAAGCAUAUCAAUAUUGUGAGGGCUUUCGGUUCCAAGAUUUGCUUCAAACUCAAGGAGGUUUCCCUCAAGAUAACCAACUUGUUUAUGGAGGACGUAAUUCAUAUAUGAGUUAUGGGAGAGUUGAUGGUGAUGAUGGUGAUGGUGAUGAUGUGAACAUUAGAGAUGAAGAUGAGGGAGACGGUAGUAAUGAGAGAGGUGUAUGUGAUGAGGAUCCAGAUGGUGUGCCAUCAAACCACGGUUCAACAUCUUCUCUAUACAAUUAUGAUCAAAAUAUUAAAAUGAAGGGUUUUGACACACCAAUAGAUCCAAUUACAAGAAAAAAAAAGCUUUGUUUGUUUGAGACUCAGUUAACCACUGAGCCACUUUAUGUGAGGUUUGCUUAAUAAGUAAGCAUAGAGGGCCAUUCCUCCUCGUGUCUGGUCUUCUUUAUCCAGCUCUCAAUUAUGUACUCAUAUUUGACUAGAAUCACAACAAGGCUGCUGGCAUGGUAUCUUCAUAUUAACACGAAAACAUUGUUUUUCAUGGGUUUUUCUACCCAGUUCUCAGUAAACCAGGCCUAUGUUAUGUAGUGAGUACUUUGCUAAUCAGUAUACUUCCAUGAUAGGUUUCCAUGCAAAUAGCUUGACUCGUAGCUUGAUCUGGGCUAGUUUUCAAGUUGAAUUGAAACGAACUUUAGCAUAAAUGGCUCGGUUGAAUUCACACGCGAUAAUCUAAUGAUCCAAACUAGAUUUGAUAAUUAUACUUCUCGUGCUAUUAUAUCUAGUUCGAUCUCCAGGGGGGAAAAUGCUAACUUUAAAAGAUUAUAGUAUGAUGGUUAUUAAGAAUGUUUACUAUAUUUUUGGAUUUAAACUUUAGCAACAACGUCCAAAAAAACAAUUAGAUCUGUUAAUAUAUGUAUUAGGCUGGCAUGGGAGUGCGAUGUAAAUACUACAAAAACACCUUGGAUCAAAGAGGAAUUCUUUAAUAGCAGCUUGUUAUCACAUGCUUAGCAAGAUUGCAAGCUACGAAAAACAAGUAGUAGAUUUUUCUCAGCCUUAAUUCACACGAUUGAGAUCAAGUAGAAGCAUUAAUUUCUCCUCGUUUUUCUUCUUGAAGCAGAUAAUCAUAUUUGGUUUAUUGAUAAAAAGAGAAGAUAUGUUUUUUUUAUUGUUGUUAUAUGUUUUAUAUUUUUUUUUGAGAUCAAGUAUAUAAGCUGGAAACUCGUGAUAAAAUCUUAAGAUUAUUCUUAGAUGUAACAAAGCCAUGUACUGAUCUUUGUUUUAUAUUUAUAUUUUUAUAAAUAUUUUUUGUGUUUUAAAAUCUAUUUUUAUAUUCCAAGAUAUAUAUAUUUAAUCACAUUUCUAAUAAUAUUGAUUUUUUUUUUUGAAAUAAUAAUGACAAACCUUGCAAACUUGAGUUCGUGACAUUUUGAUAUUACGGUAAAAGUCUUUUUGGUGCGUUUUGAUUUUUGUCAAGAAGGAUAGAUUGGAAGUAUCCAUUAAUUUUGUGUAUUCUAAUAUAAUCGUCUGUUAAGCUUGGCUUAACAAAAUUAAUGAAGUAGAAGGAAAACAGAGAAAUGAGAGAAGAAUGAUUCUGUUAUUUCUUGCGUGACUCUUACAUAAUCCUCCUAUGUACCAUUAUAUACUUAAACGAUUUAUUAUAUUGUAAACUAACUCUAACCGUAUUAAGGAAAAAGACCCUAUACAAUGUAAUAGUUAUAGUAUGUAAUACAUCCCACCAUUAUAUUGUACACAACCCUACAAGUAUAAAUACAAAGGAUGGCUGCUACCCUUAUGCAACCAACACAAUUAAACACAAAAUUAUCUCUCAAUUAAUCUUAACUUGGUAUCAGAGCUGCGUUAAUUGUUCAACAGCCUUCUUCCGCAACAACUGCAACUCUCCUGCGUAGCUGUUUCAACCAGCAGCCAUCCUCCUUUUUAGCAGUCGUUCUUCCUCUAUUAGAUUCACAAGCAGCAGUUUCAGUUUCUCCUUAGCAUAGAUCACUCAUCUUCUUCCUCUGUCACUUCUCAUGAAAUAAAAACUGCAACUUCUCCUCCCUAGCAACAUGGACAAUCAAGAACUUCAACAGUCUGCUGGCUCUGCAUCAGCUCUUCAAUCUUCUUUCUCCCUUGUGGCACAAUCAGUUAUGUAUGGGGCAUCGCCUACUGGCUCCAUUAUUCCUCUUCCUAACACACACCAGGUAGUCUCUUUAAAACUCUCCAACCAUAAUUUCCUGUAUUGGAGGAUGCAGAUGAAACCUUUUCUCUUGGGACAAGGCGUUUAUUCAUUUGUUGAUGGCACAUCACCAUGUCCUCCUUCACAUUUGGCAUCUGCUGAGACACCUACACUCUCUGUCAACCCUGCAUAUUUGUCAUGGAAGCAGCAAGAUCACCUAAUCAUGAGUGCCUUCUUAUCUUCUCUCUCGGUGGAAGUUAUGCACUUACUUGUAGAUUGUAACACUUCCCAUGCCAACUAGACAACGCUAGAAACAACUCUUGCCUCUCCCUCAAAUUCCAGGAUUAUGCAACUCCACGGAUCAUUCUGGGAUUUACGACAAAAUGAUGAUUCUACCAGCAUUUACUUGAAGGCUAAGGCCUUGUUUGAUGAACUGGUUGCCGCUGGCAGACCAAUCUCCCUGGCAGAAUUUAACUUGUAUGUUUUUCGUGGAUUGCGUAGUGAGUUUAAGGAUCUUGUCACCAGCUUGUCCACUAAGGAUGCUGCUAUCAGCUAUACUGAUCUCUAUAGCAGCCUUCUUACACAUGAGUUCCUUCACAAAGCCUCUCUCCAGCCAUCUGGAACAACCCCUCUGUUACCAACUCCAACGCAGCAGCCAGCUGUGUUCUUUGUGCAGCAUCAAUUUGGCAGACGGGGUUGUUUUCGUGGGGGCUGGAGACCUAACAAUCAUAGCAAUUUUUAUCGUGGCAAUGGUUAUGCUUCAGGACAACAAUAUAGCCCACAUGGAAACCGAUUCUCAUCUGGCACUUCUUCACGGCCAACAGGUAGUUUUGGGCAGCAAGGAAAUCGCUUUGGUGGCUAUCCUCGCAAUAUAAAAUGCCAGAUGUGUUCUCAGUUGGCUACUCAUCAUAUGCAUGCUAAUGCUAAUCUUGCAUUUAAUAUUGCCUCUUCCACCACUCCUGUUACUUGGUUUCCUGAUACAAGUGCAAAUCAUCAUGUCACGCUGGACCUUGUAAGUAUGACGAGUUCAGAACCUUAUAUUGGAAAUGAUCAUCUGCAUGUUGGUGAUGGUAAGGGCCUUGUUAUCUCAAAUAUUGCUCACUCUAAAAUUCGCUCACCAAACCACAUGUUUACUUUAUCCAAUAUCUUACAUGUUUUUACCAUUAAAAAACCUCUGCUAUCUGUUCAAAAAUUUUUUCUUGAGAAUAACGUGUUGUUUGAAUUUCAUUCCUCUCUAUUUUAUGUUAAAGAUCUCAUGACAAAUGAAGUUCUUCUUUCUGGUCAGAGUAGAGAUGGCCUAUAUGUUUUGUCCACGUCGUCUGCAACGUCGUUGCCUCGAGCUUUUUCCUCUACCUGUCUAUCUACUUCAGCUGAUGUCUGGCAUCGUCGCCUUGGACAUCCUAGUCCAUGUAUUCUGCAUUUGCUGGUGAAAAAUAAAAAAAGGGUCAUGUAUGUCCACUCAGUUUAAUUUUCAGUGUCCCACGUGCCCUCUGGGCAAGUCAUCGCGUCUGACUCUAAAAACUACGGGUCAUCAAACUCGAGCUCCUUUUGACUUGAUUUUUAGUGAUGUUUGGGGUCCAUCCCCUAUGUUAUCAUUUGAUGGUUUUUUGCUAUUUUGUUAUUUUUGUGAAUGCUCGUACAAAGUUUAUAUGGUUUUAUCCCUUGGUUGCCAAGUCUGAUUUUUUUGCAAUUUUUCAUCAGUUUCAGGCGCUUGUGGAGCGCCAAUUCUCCUUAAAAAUUAAGUUCAUACAAACCAAUUGGGGUGGUGAAUAUCGAAAACUAAAUACAUAUUUUAAAAUGAUUGGUAUUCAUCAUCGUGUGAUCUGCCCACACACUCAUUGUUGUAACUCAUUUUUGGGUCUUCACCUAAAACUACAAAAAAAUUCAAAAAAAAUACAUUUAUAAAAAAAAAUAUAACAGAAAGAAAAAUGCCAGAGCGCCUUAAAAAUGUUUAAAAAUUGAUUGAGGAUGUGCAAAAAAAUAAAAAUAAAAAUUUGACAGUAUAUCAUUGACUGAUGCGAGCCCUAAUGAUAAAGAAAAUUCAAUUUGAGGAAGAAAAAUGCAAAAUUAGAAGUUUAUGGACUCAAUUAAAUUUUAUUGAAGGUUUAAUUGAAUUUAUAGAGGUUUUACUUGCAAAAACAAUUGAUUUUGGAGUUAUUUUGGGCUUUAAUUGGAAGAAAUUAAUUUUCUGGGGUCAAAUUAUAAUUUUUAGAAGUUAAUUUGGUCAAAUCAGGGGCUUAAUUGCAUAAAAAAUGAAGUUUAAUGGCCAAUUAGGGACUAAAUUGAAGAAAUCCGAGACCAAGGACGAAAUUGUAAAACGCGCGCAAUUUGAGGGCCUUCUUUGAAAUCUGACGCAUUUUGGCGCCUUUUUCUUUUAAAUGAAACGGCGCGUUUUGACCAAAACGGCGUCGUUUCAUUCACUGUUGCAAAAAAAAAAAAAAAAAAAAAAAAAAACAGAAGCCCAAAACGGCGCCGUUUUGACGGCACUGUAGGUCUUCUUCUUCCCCUGGACGCGCGAGGCAGGGGAAGAAGAAGAUUUUUCUUCUCCCUUUUCGCCUAACUUCUUUCCCCAUUUCUACGCAAUAAGACGCCCACCAUUCGACGCCCACUUGCCUCCUUUUUAUCCGUUGAACGGCUAGUGGAGGGGCGGCCAACAGUGGCCGCCCCACCACCAUUGUCCCCCCUGUUUUUGCCUAUAAAAACAGGGGAGGACCGAACAAAAAAAAAAAAAAAAAGAGAAGGGAGAGGGAAGAGAGAAGAGAAGAGAAGAGAAAGAAGAGAGGAAAAGAAAAGAAAAGAAAAGAAAAAAACAGAAACAGAAGAAGAAAGAAAGAAGCAGGGGAGAAGAGAGAAGAAAUCGUCGCCUCUGCCACCCUUCGAUCACCAGCAGCACCGCCGGCCACCGCUCCAGUUGGAAGCUCCACCGCGUCAGGUAACCUCCUGCUCCCUCGCCAUCACUUUUUUUUUUCUUCUCGCCCUCGCUGUCCCUGCCUGCACUUGCAUGCAGAACGUGAAUAAUUCACGUUCUGCUGCAAAAUGCAGCGUGGGCUGGUUACUGUGCUGAUGCACAGUAACCAGCCCAUUUGGGCCUGGGCUGGGCCGUUCAGCCCAGCCCCUGUAAACGGGCUUGGUUGGCCCAGCCCAUGCAUUUGGGCUGGGUCCGGCCCAUGUUUUUAUUUAUUUAUUUAUUUAUUAUUAUUAUUAUUAUUAUUAUUAUUAUUUUGUUUGUUAUUAUUUAUAUUUUUAUUUUUUUUUAAAAAGACACAUUUUCUUCUAUCAUUUUACUGUUCAUACGGUACUGUUCAUCCGGCCCAUAAAAAAGGAAAAAAUCAAAAAUACUUGUUUUAUUUAUAAUUUUUCCCCGUAUUUUUUAUGUCAUUUUUAUGUAAUAUGGGACAAUAUUCCUAUGUCGUAAAAUACAAAUCCGGUACUGAAAUACCCGGUUUUCGACUUUCAAGAAUACAAAAACAAAUAAAAAAAAAAUGUUUUUUUGUGCAUACGGCCAAAUGUCUCAAAAAAAAAAAUCAUUUUGUAUUUUUCAUACAAAAAAAAAAUCAAUGUUUUAGCAUGCAUUUUGGCUUUAAUAACCAGUUUAUUAAAGUCAAGAGAAUAUUGGCCAAAAUUUCAAAAAAACAACAAAAAUUUUAUUUUGUUUAUCUUUUAAUAUCCGGGGUAUGACAUUAUACGUAAUACAUAUUCCGGAUAUUUAUUUAAUUUUUAUAUAUUUUUUUUAUAUAGAACUUGGGAUAUGACAUUACAUGUAAUGCGUAUUCCGAACAAUAAAACACGACCUUAGAUGUUAUCAGACAUUAAAACAAUGCAGCCUACCUUAGGUAGGGCGUAGUUGGGGUGCUAAUACCUUCCCUUUACGCAACUAGUCUCCGUACCCGAUCUCUAAAGACCAGUUAAGGUUCCUAGUAACCAGAAUACUAGGUGGCGACUUCCAGUCCAUAUUUUCACUUAUAGAGACAAGAAUUCCUUGUCUCUCCUUUUUUUGUUGGGAAUAAAUAUUUCCGAUUUUUUUUUCCUUGAGGGUGGACGAUCGUCGCGCCGCCGCACACGUGCGACACUCAUGAACAAAAUGGCAUGGUUGAACGCCGUCAUAGACAUAUUGUUGAAAUUGGACUCACUCUCCUUGGGUAGUGUCAUGCUUCCCUUAAAUAUUGGAGUUAUGCUUUUGAAAGUUCUGUUUAUUUGAUUAAUCGUAUGCCCACUCCAGUUCUUAAUAAUAAGACAUCGUUUGAAUGUCUUCUAAAAUCGACUCCUGAUUAUGUGUUUCUUCGUACUUUCAGGUGUCUCUGCUUUCCUUUUCUUCCUCCAUACAAUGCUCAUAAAUUAGAUUUUCGGUCCACUUCUUGUGUUUUUCUAGGAUAUAGUACCUCGCAUGUCGGUUAUCGAUGUCUUGAUUUGUCAUCCAAACAAAUUUAUCUUGCACGUCAUGUCCGGUUUCAUGAAACUGUUUUUCCUCUUAAUAAAACUGAACAGAUUGCAGCAACACCCAACCAGCCCUCUGCUCCCUCUAUACCCAUCACUUUACAUCCUCUCAUGCAACCCUCUUCAGUCCCUUCACCACUGCCCCAUACACUGCCUACACCUUCUUCGGCUCGUUUACCAUUAUCUACAUGUUAUUAUGAUCAUUCUUCAAUUGCAGGUUCAGAUUCGUCACACUCACAGGCGUCGUCUGAUGCUGCUGCCAGCUCCCCUGGUUUCUCCCCUGUUCGCUUCCUUGUUGUGGGUGCUUCUUCUGCUGGGUCUCUCUCACGGUCUGCGCUUAUAUUGAGUUCUUCACCCACAAGUUCUUUCUCUCUUUCCCCUCUUGGAAUUAACGUAUGUGUUGAUCUAUCUAAGUUCAAUCUUCAGCACGUCCCUGCCGCUAUCUCCUCUCCAUCUUAGCGGGCUUGCACCCAUCCAUUGGUGCUUCGCCCACGGCCAGAAAAAAAUGCUAAUCUUAGCAUUGUGGCUGUCUCACGAGUCACGACCUUACCUCAGUAGGAGCCAUUGCCAUUUAAGGACGUAAACAAGUAUGUGACUUGGGACACUGCCAUGCAGGAGGAACUUCGAGCACUUCACUCUAAUCAGACUUGGACGUUGGUGCCUCCCCAUCCAACUAUGAAUGUGAUUGGCAGUAGAUGGGUUUACAAGAUAAAAAGACAUGCUAAUGGUUAGGUCGCCCGAUAUAAAGCACGGUUAGUUGCUCGCGGCUUAACUCAGCAAGAAGGGAUUGAUUAUUUAGAGACGUUCAGUCCAGUGAUCAAGCCUACAACGGUUCGCCUUGUGCUCACUAUUGUUGUCUCAUAUGGUUGGACCAUUCAUCAGUUGGAUGUUCAUAAUGCUUUCCUAAAUGGCAUUCUUCAGGAAGAGGUAUACAUGGCGCAAUCGCCUGGGUUUGUUGAUCCUACACUCCCAUCUCAUGUGUGUUGUCUCUAUAAAUCUCUAUAUGGUUUGAAACAAGCCGCUCGUGCUUGGUACAACCGGUUGAGUGAGUUCUUACUCUCCAUUGGAUUUCAGGCAUCCAAGGGUGAUACUUCUCUAUUUAUUCUCUCUCAAGAUGGUGCCAUGAUUUACCUGCUUGUGUAUGUUGAUGAUAUUUUAUUAACCGGGAGUAACUCAGCUAUGCUUUAUAGAUUGAUUAUUUUGCUGCAAUCAGAAUUAAGCUUCUGGAUUUGGGUUUUGUUCAUUUCUUCUUGGGUAUUGAAGUUAAACCUACUGCUAUGGGUAUCUUAUUAAGCCAACAUAAGUAUGUUCUUGAUAUCAUCCAACGAGCAGGUAUGACUUCGUGCAAACCAGUUGAUACUCCUCUAUCUGCCUCCUCCAAAUUAGGACUCAUACCGGGUACUCUCUACUCUGAUCCCACACGGUAUCGACAAAUUGUUGGGGCAUUACAAUAUCUUACCUUCACUAGACCUGAUAUCUGCUAUGCGGUCAACAAGGUCUGUCAAUUUAUGCAUGCCCCCACUGAGGAUCAUUGGUUUGCUGUCAAACGCAUCCUGCGUUACCUCCAGGCUACAGCAACUUAUGGCCUGCACAUCACUAGGGAUUCUCCUCUGUCUCUUCAUGGUUUCACAGAUGCUGAUUGGGCAGGUAGUAUUGAUGAUCGAAAAUCCACAGGUGGUUACCUUGUGUACCUUGGCUCUACCCCUAUCUCUUGGAAAUCCGGGAAACAACGCACUGUUGCGAGAUCCUCCACUGAAGCGGAAUACAAAGCCUUAGCUGAUGGUACUGCUGAGAUUUUGUGGAUUCACUCAUUAUUGACAGAACUUCGGAUUCCUUCUUCGACUGUGACCACGUUAUGGUGUGAUAAUUUAGGGGCCACCUUCUUAUCUGCAAAUCCAGUAUUUCACGCUCGUACUAAACAUGUUGAAGUUGAUUAUCACUUUGUCCGUGAUCGUGUUACUAAGCAAGAAAUUCAGGUACGGUUUAUAUCUUCCAAAGAUCAACUAGUUGAUGUCCUUACCAAGCCUCUUCCUCAAGUCUCGUUUGCUUACUUUCGAUCCAAGCUUCGGGUGGAAUCUCCACCUUCAGCUUGACGGGGUGUAUCAAGGAAAGAGACCCUAUACAAUGUAAACACUCUUAUAUAGUAAUAGUUAUACUAUGUAAUACAUCCCACCAUUAUAUUGUACACAACCCUACAAAUAUAAAUACAAAGGAUGGCUGCUACCCUUAUGCAACCAACACAAUUAAACACAAAACUAUCUCUCAAUUAAUCUUAACUAACCGACUCCUACCCUAAUUAAUAUGCACUAGCAGUUCUCCAACUUGUUGUGUAAACUACUUUGCUUUUUCUUUAUAGACAUGCAUCAACUUGUUGUGUUCUGAACAAUUUAUUUGAUCUUGUGGAAUAAAAAAGUUUCUUCCUUGACUUUUUUAAUAGAUUGAAGUGAUUUGCCGACAGUUUCAUCAUCCACCUCACUUCUUUUUCUUCGUAGACUUGUGAAGUCAAGAUUCCCGAAGAUCAAUAUCAUCAAUUAAUUGUUGCUAAUUUUGUUGAAGAAAGAAAUAUUUGUUAGUCUGAUUUACUUCCAUAUUAAUUAUUGUUGGAUUCUUAAUCUGAAUUUUAGAGUGGUUCUAACUUCUUAAUCUGAAUUGAUGGAUUUCUUAAUUAUUGUUAAUACGAUUCGAUAUGUAACUAGUGUAUUUAUAUACCUUUUUUCUCAACCAAAUCCUUCAACUCCAUAAUAUUUGACAAAAAUAAAAAUACAAACCCAUUAAUUCUCUGUGGUAAAAAUCCGUCGAUAAAUAUAAAGAUUGUGGUAAUGACAGAGAUUCCUCAAAAGAAGUAAUGGAUGCUUGUUUGUUUAGUUAGUAAGUUAUUUUUAGACUUAAGAUAAUUAAAAUAUUUUAUAAAUAGAGUCUUGUGUUUUGAUCCUACUACAUGUUGUCCUAAUCUAGGGUAACGGAUGAAUAGAUAUUCGUUAUAACAUGAAUUAUAUGAAGAUAUUUUAAUAAUCAAGAGAAGAUUCAUCACCAUAGGUGAAUUAGAGAAAAUAUUUCAUAUAUUCACAAAUAAUAUUGAUUGUAAAUUCUUGCGAAAGGUAGAAUGAGAUUUGAAAAGAGUUUUAAAUCUUAUUUUGUAACAUAGUAUAAAAAUGGGACAACAUUACAAUUACUAUAGUGAAACAUCAUUUCUUUUUAUUAUUUGUAUAAUAAUUUUCAAAAAAAAAAAGUGUAAGGGAAAAAAUAUAAAAAAAAUUACAAAAUAAUGAAGAUAAAAACACAAAGAAAUGUUUAUAAAUUAAAUAGGCCAAAUUUAAAGUGUUAAAUAUGCCAAGUAUAAAGAGGGAAAAAAUCUAACAAAAAUAUGUCUAAAAAACCCAAAAAAACAUAUAUUUGUCAUCACUACAAUACCCACUACAACAAAAAAAGAAAAAAAAUAUAUAUUUGUAUCAUUUCUAUUAGAAUUUACCAUUUCCUUUUACUUUUUAGUACGUGUAUAAUUUUUCUUGGAUAAAAAGAUUAAAAUAAUAAUAAUGAUUGAUUUAUUUUUCACUUAAAAACACCACAACACUCCCCCAAAUCAUAUAAUAACCUAAAAAAACCCUCAAAAUCAUUUAAAAAACUACAAAUUAAAAAAAUUAAAAUUCUUCAAACGAAGCUCAAUCUCCUUCUAAAAAAUAUUUAAAUAAAAUAAUAAUCACUAUCAAACUUUCAUUAUCAAAUAAAAACAUCAAGUAAAUAAUAAUCGCUAAUUUUAUAAGUGUCAUCUCUAAAAAGUAGCGCAAAUGAUUAUUAUUUUUUUCUCUUUUAAAGCGACUUUCUUUCUUCUCUUAAAUACAAUAAUUCAAAAUUAAAUAAAAUAAAUUUUUGGAUUAAAAUAAAAAUUCUCAUAAAUUUUAUGUGAGGCAAGUAAUUAUUUUUCUAGUUUUACUUUUCAGUCCUCUUUCUUUAAGUUUUUUUUUUUAUGAUAAUUUGAACCUAAUUCAAUUUAAUUCGGUGUGAAAUUGAAAGGAAAAAAAGGUUAAAAUAAAACAACAAGCAAAAUUAAACUGGCCCAUGUCUUUGCUAAUAUUAAAGUACUAUGCUCUUCACUGUGUUUAAUUUAUAAUUUUAUAGAGGUCAAAGUCUGUUUAUAUUUUAAUUGUAUGAACGGUCCAAGACGACCACUACCUUGAUUUUGUAAUUGCUGCAAAGUCGUAAAAGCUGCCUUCACUUUCAUUGGUGGGUACCCCUUUUGUGCAUUUUUAUAAAAUUCAAAGUUGGCUUCCCCUUUUCUUUGGUGGGAACUCCUCUUGUAAUUUCCUAAUGCUUCAGUAGUAACCAUGCCAUAAUUAAUUCGUAGACUUGACCUAUGAUCGGCCACUUUCGUAUUGAAUGAGGAUGGACCCUGUUUAUAUAAAUAUCCAGUUUAAUUAAUUCAUAUGGUUAAUUACUGUUUUUUAUAAAUAAAAUUACUGAGAUUAAAAAGUUGUUAGUGUUAUUUAAUGAUUUUCUAAAAAAUUUAAAUAAAAUUAAAAUUUUAAAUUAAAUAUUAUAUACGGAAUGAUUACCAAAUUAAAAAAUUAAAAAGUGAUCGUUGAUAUUUUGUAAUUGCUUUCACUUUCGUUGGUGCGAACUCAUGUAAUUUCCUAAUGCUUCAGUAGUAACCAUGCAAUUAUUAAUUCGUCGACUUGACCCAUGAUCGAUCCCCUUUUGUAUUGAAUGAGGAUGGACCCAGUUUAUAAAAGAGUAUUGUUCUCAAGACCACAUAAUAUAUAUAUAUAUAUAUAUAUAUAUAUAUAUAUAUAUGUAUAUGUGUGUGUGUGUGUGCAGGCAGAGUAACAAAACAAAACCAUUAUUUUAUGUUGAGUGGAAUAUCAAAGCACCUUUUCGGUGCAUACCCAGCCCUUCUUCUUCUAGUCAUCCUAGUCGGUCACCAGAGUUGCAGUGCUAGAAAGAACAGUGUUUAAGCUACUUUGCUUCUUUUUUGUUUUGCAUAGACUUGGGAAGUCAUUUGUUCAAAUAAUUGAUUUUUCGACAAGUCUCUUAAUCUCAUCAUCUUUUAUCUUUAAAAUGUAAAACCCAACCAUAAUUUAUCUUUGACAUUUCAAGCAACUUGUUGUCGAUCAUCUUUUCAUGGAUCCUACAAUUAUUUUCAUUAGUCUAUUAUUUGUUGUUGUUUUUCUUCAGCCUUGUGGAACGGGAUGUCCAUCAACUUGUUGUUUAAGCUACUUUGCUUCUUCUUUUUUCAUAGACUUGGAAAGUCAUUCCGACAAGUCUCUUAAUCUUAUCAUCCAGACAAGUCAUCAACUCAAGGAUUAUAAUCUCUUCUCAUUUGUUUUUUGAUUAGGCCCUAAUAACAUUAAGAUAUAUUCCAGUUUUGAUCAUUUCUUAGGGAAUAGGUUAAAAAAAAUACCCUAAAAUUUGGAUCGAUAUGAGAUUAGAAAUUUAGAUAAAACAUGGAUGUGUUUGAAUGAAGAAAUUUAGGGCAGAGAUGUCGUAUACAGACAGAGUAUGCCAAGAACCAGUAAGUUACUAUUUUUUUAUUUUCACCAGUAAGUUAUCCUAGUGCUUGCUAGGACUAGCCCAACAAACAGAUUAAAAGUAUGAAGUUUCACCAAUCUGUCAUCAGAGUCUGUAAAUAUUGUUACAGAUGAUUUAAGUUUGUUUGCCAAAUUUUUCAAGAACAUGUUUGUCUUUGAUGGCUUAUUGUCAUAGCUGUUAACUCUGAAGAAAAAUGAUCUUAGAAACCAAAGUCCUGCAAUGUAAUUCCAUGUUGUUCUCUUUUUUAGCUAAUCUUUCUGGGUAGGUUCUCUGGUUUGAGGCUGGUGCUGAAGAAAGGGGAAGCCGACGCUGCUACUUUUUAGUUUUCUCUGCUUCUUGGAUAUUCCUGGGCUGGGUUCCUUUGGCUCAGUCUCCUUCUUGCGUCUGUCUCUCUCUCUCUCUCUCUCUCUCUCUCCCUCUCUCUUUUUCACCAGUUUUUCCUCCCCGUUUGCGUCUUCGUCCUCCUGUGCUCCCUUCUAAGUUCUCUCCCCGUUUUUUCCCCCUGUUUAAGCUUUCUUGUACUGCUCGCUCUGCCUCUCUGUUUUCUCCUUCCCUUGGUUCUGCUUUUUUUCUCCUCUCUGUUCUGCUUUAUAGCCAGAGAAUGCCUCCAUAAUAAAGUGACUGUUAUUGCAGGAUUAAUGGCGAUGCAUCGUUGGGCAUCCGUUUUUUUGGGUCGGGCGAAGAAGAUGAACAGUGUUGAUGGCCAUUUGCGUUUUGGUCCUUGACUUUUGAAAGUUCUGCAAUCAAGCUCCCUGGAUAAACUUUAAUUGGACCCCUGGAUUUUAUCACCAUUUACAGAAUGGUCCUUAAACUUCAAUUUCUUGCAGUUUUAACCUGAAUCAGCCCCAAGCUUUAGUAUUUCUUCAAUUAAGCCCCUGAUUUCAUAAAUUAAACUAAUUCCAAGUUCAAUUAAGUCCAAAACUUAUCAAUUCUUCACUUAAGCUUUUAAUUUGGUUAAUAAAACUAAUUCAAAGUUUAAUUAAAUCCCAAAACUUCUAACCAUGUUGUCCUUACCCAAAAUUUAAUUCAUUCUUUAUUUAUUUCAUCAUUUUUUUAUUUGUUUUUUUCUAUUUUCAUCAUCAUUUUUUUUUCAUUUUUUAUUAUCAUGUUUCAGGAAAUAAAAUAAUAAUAACAAUAAUAAUUUUUAUUACCAAAGUCUUCUCGACGGACAAAAAAUUAUUAUUAAAAAAUUCACCGGCGGAGAAUUCCUGUAAGUGAUUUUGUUGGUAAAUUAAUUACCAAUGGAAUGAUAGUGCAAAUACCGAUGGAAAAAUCCAUCGAUAAAUAUAAAGAUUGUGGUAAUGACAGAGAUUCCUCAAAAGAAGUAAUGGAUGCUUGUUUGUUUAGUUAGUAAGUUAUUUUUAGACUUAAGAUAAUUAAAAUAUUUUAUAAACAGAGUCUUGUGUUUUGAUCCUACUACAUGUUGUCAUAAUCUAGGGUAACAGAUGAAUAAAUAUUUGUUAUAACAUGAGUUAUAUGAAGAUAUUUUAAUAAUCAAGAGAAGAUUCAUCACCAUAGGUAAAUUAGAGAAAAUAUUUCAUAUAUUCACAAAUAAUAUUGAUUGUAAAUUCUUGCGAAAGGUAGAAUGAGAUUUGAAAAGAGUUUUAAAUCUUAUUUUGUAACAUAGUAUAAAAAUGGGACAACAUUACAAUUACUAUAGUGAAACAUCAUUUCUUUUUAUUAUUUGUAUAAUAAUUUUAAAAAAAAAAGUGUAAGGGAAAAAAUAUAAAAACAAUUACAAAAUAAUGAAGAUAAAAACACAAAGAAAUGUUUAAGCUUUCUUGUACUGCUCGCUCUGCCUCUCUGUUUUCUCCUUCCCUCGGUUCUGCUUUUUUUCUCCUCUCUGUUCUGCUUUCUUUCUCUGGCUUUAUAGCCAGAGAAUGCCCCCGUUACCCAGGUAAUAAAGUGACUGUUAUUGCAGGAUUAAUGGCGAUGCAUCUUUGGGCAUCCGUUUUUUGGGUCGGGCGAAGAAGAUGAACAGUGUUGAUGGUCAUUUGUGUUUUGGUCCUUGACGUUUUGAAAGUUCUGCAAUCAAGCUCCCUAGAUUAAACUUUAAUUGGACACCUGGAUUUUAUCACCAUUUACAGAAUGGUCCUUAGACUUCAAUUUCUUGCAGUUUUAACCUGAAUCAGCCCCAAGCUUUUGUAUUUCUUCAAUCAAGUGUAAGGGAAAAAAUAUAAAAAAAUUAUAAAAUAAUGAAGAUAAAAACACAAAGAAAUGUUUAUAAAUUAAAUAGGCCAAAUUUAAAGUGUUAAAUAUACCAAGUGUCGCACCCGACAUCGCGACGACCCUAAAAAUAAUAAUUCUCGUUCAUGGAAAAAAGAACAGAUUCUGGCAUCCGGUUCUUUUAGAAAAAAUGUCUUGUUCGAGGAGUCGCCACCUAGUAUUAUGGUCACUAGGAACCCUAACUAGUCAAUAGAGAUUAUAUGGUUCAGGACUGGUUACAUAAAAGGGAAGAUAUUAUCGCCCCUUAAACGUUCUGCCUAAGGCAAACUGCAUUGCUGUUUUUGUCUUAAAUUGCUAAAUUUUAUUGGUUCAUGUUUUGACGAUUUAUUCACAAUAUUCCUGACUCUGGCGUUAGUGAAUGUUUAACAACGGAUAAUUCUAACUCUGGCGUUGGUAAUUAUUACGUAGUUAAUAAAAUAAAUUUAGAUUAAUAUUUUCUAUUUUUGACUCUAAAACUAGUGAAUAAACUAAAUGUACACAUUCACAUAUUUUUCUAUUUUUUUUUAUAUAAAUUAAAAAAAGGACAAAAUAAUAAUAAUAAUAAUAAUAAUAAUAAUAAAAUUAAAAUAAAAUAAAAUCAGUGUUUUUAUUGUAUUCCCGACUCUGGCGUCAGUGAAUAAAUAAGUAAAUAAAACAAAUUUAUUUUUUUUAUACAUGCACAUAUAUUUUGUUGCUAAAUAAAAAAACAUAAUGAAUAAAAAUAAUAUAAGCUCAAACCAGUAUUUUAUUCCCGACUCUGGCGUUGGUGAAUAAACCAGUAAAUUUAUAUUACUUUUAUUCAUGCAUACAAACAUUUUUUAUUUUUUUUAUUUUUUUUUCUCCUAUUUUUAUUCUAUUUUAUUUUUUUAUUUUUUUCUAUUUUUUUUAUUUUUUGGGGAUGGGCCCAGCUCAGCCCACAUGGGCUGGGCUAGACCCAGCCGGCCCAGCCCAGUCACUGGCCCAAGCCAGUGACCCGGCUGGGCCACAGCAGGCACGCAUGAUCUAAAUCACGCGUGCAUAGCCUGUAAUUAAGAAACAGCCGGUGCAACAACGAAAUGAAACGAAGCGGGGAAACAGAGCUGAAAACUUACCCGUUUCGUUUGCAGGGGAUUUGCAUGUGAUUGCUGAGGACGAAGCUUCUGCCUUCGAGUUUCUUCGUACUCCUUCUGUUCUUUCACGUUGUAUUCCUUUCCUGCUCCUCUGUUUCGGUUUGUUUUUCCUCGUCUCUUUUUACUCUGUUUUCUGAACAAAACCUCUCUCUCUCUCGGUCAGUUUCGUUUUUGUUGUUUUAAGCCUGUAUUGGUGAUGGAAGGCUUUGCUUCUGGCGUGGGGUUAUAAAGAAAAAGGUUAAAAAUCUUGCUGGUAAUAUGUGUGUCUCUCUCCUCUGGUUUUGUUCGUCUCUCUCUACAACUCUGCAACGGGUCGUAGGCUGAAGAACGACCACCAUUAAACGCUCAUAACUGAGGCCCCUCAAGUGUGGUAUUGCUUGAUUCAUCAUGAAGGAUUUUCUCUCUGGCUUCUUCUGAGAAUUAUCCUCUGAUUGAUUGUGUGUAUCAUGCCAACACCCAUCAAGAUUGUUAAUCAGUCAUGAACUUGCCUUCGGUUGAAACACCAUUCAAGUAUGUAUGGUCACCAGCCUUCAUGGAACUGCCAAGUCAUCCAGACAUGGAUCUCAUGCUUUGCAGUAAACAGCUCAUCAUUGUAAGCACGAUGUAUUUCUCUAUGGAUUCCUCUUAGCUUGUCAAAUCAGAUCAUGAAAAUAACUGCUUUGGCAUCAUCAAUGGUGUUCAUGUUAUCACCCAUAUUCAUGCGGUGAAGCGUGCAUUUGAGCUUCAGAAUAGAUGGUCCCAUAGUCAAUCUUGGUGGUAUGCAUAUGUUCGAUGUUCAUUCAAAUGCACUCACCCGAUAACAUCUGUCAGGAGUCAUAGCCAUGUUUUAUAGGGUAUCCCAAGAUGAAGAUAUGAAAAUAUCCUUCAAGUGCAGUGUUGCUCAUCAAUUGCUGCUGAAAUGCACUAGAUCAUGGAUUGUCUUUGAACAAUAUUGGCCCCAACAAUGAUAUGAAUGCUCGUUCAUCAGUUUAUACUAAAAAAGGUCUUUCUUUGUCAUUGUCAGAUGCUAAACAUAACUUUGAUGAACUUUGACGACUCAUCAUCUGAUUCUUUCUUUGCCCCCAGCUGAUCUGGAUACUGUCUGUUUUCCUUCUUAGGGUCCACUGUAUUGCCCCCAAGUGGUUAACCUUUCAAGGAGUUUUGAGAAGAGUUGAUGUCAUUUCAUGUCAAGGAUUCCGCAAACUCAAUAAAUGUUCUUCUUUGUUUGACAAUCUUUAUUGUUCUAGAAUCAAAUCUCAUACUUCAAAGGUCAUGUCUAUUCAAGUCUAAAUGUUGAAAUGAAAUCAGAGAGAUGUCUAUUUUUGAAAAAAUUUGAAAUUCAAACUUCUUUGGUCAAAGACCCAACACACGUCAUUCAAUGUAGUCCUUCGAUUGUCUUGUAUUUUGAAAACAGAAAUCGACCCGUUGUAAGAUUAAAAUGGUUUUUCCCAUGGUUCUUUCUAUCCACUUUAAACUCUGAUUUUGGGUAUAUCUUUUGAUGGUCUGUGAUGAGGUGACAUUUUUAUGAAUUUAAAAACAAGAUGUUCAGGCUUUAUCAAGAAAGGUUGUUUCUUUUCUUAGCAUUUAUUUUAUCAGCAUGCAUAAUAACCAGUAGCUUAAUUCAUGAAGUCACGACCCUUAUGGAAAAACUCUUCAAGUUUUGAGAGUGCCAUUUAUCGAUUCAAAUUGCUUGCUUGAUUAAAAAGGGCUUUUAAAAGCAUGUAAUGCAGGCUAUGGUUCAUGGCUAUGAAAGAAAAGAAUUUCAAAGGCUCAAAAGGUGUUUGAGGGUUUCAAAAAUCUAGGAUCAACAUUGAUUAUUCAUCAACUCGUUUUCUAUUCUUGUCUUUGUAGAGGAAACGACAUAGAACCUUGUUAACCUCAAAGAUCAGACUUCUAUUAACAUAAGUCAUAAUGCAAAUCCAACUUUCUUUGAGGAAUAACCAACCUUAAUCAUCUGAUAAUAUCAUAGGCUUUAUAAUGGAUACCAAAAGUCAACGCUUAUAGCUUAGUCUUCUUUUUUUUUCCUUUUGGUAUUGACUUUUGUUGUGUCUUUCCUUGAUUGAAAUUUCUUUUGCUCUUCCUAGACUUGAUAGGCAUUCUCCUUUUUUUUUUUUUAUUCCCUCUCUUUUUCUGUUUUUUUUUCUUUCUUUUUUUUGCUUUGCUUUCUCAUAGCCUUCCUCAAAAUUUCCUUAUAUGCCUAUAGUUUAUGUGUUUUCUUUUAGCUCUCUCUCAAUCAUUGGACUUUUGUUCUAAGCCUUCCCCUUUAUCCAUUAAUUAUAUCAAUGCCUUCAAAAUACCUCUCAUUUGCCCCCAGUGUGGGGUGUGAUCCUAGUCAGGGUUUCUUUUUGAAAGAAAAUAUUUUACCAGGCUCAAAAUGGGACUGCAAGGGAUAUAAUCUUUAGAAAGUGAAGGGAUAUCAAAGAUGGCCUUUUCUCCAGUGUAAUGAUUUGGACUUGUAAGAGUCAAUGAUUCACGAGUCCAUAGCUACCGAAACCACUACAUGUCAUUAUGCAUACUACUAAAACUUAGCUAAAUGAUGUGUGGUUCAAUUUUAUAUGUGAGCUCAAAAAUUUGUUCGGUCACCUCAUGUCAUUUCAACAAGAAUCGAGUCAUUUCUGCAAUCAAAACACUUUUAAUCUUCAGAUUGAUUAACCUUUAUCGCAUGUUGGAGUUUGAUCAAAAUAUUUUGUCGAAAAAAAUGUUAAACAUCUGUUGAUUUCAAAACAACAAAGAGACAAAAGCAAGGCAUGUUUCGUUAAAGGAUGAGAUGUGAUCCCAAAACAAAAUGCAGAAUUCCAUAACAAUAUGAUUGACAUUUCAUCACCAUUCUUGAAUCAGCUUUUCUGGCAAUAUCAGUGUUCGGCCAAGCACUUUCGAUCAACAUGUCAUUCUGAGGAUGUUCUGGUGACAACAUGAUUGAUGCCAUCAUCUUUCGCAAACUCAGCUCGAUUCUUGAAACUCUUGUGUCUGUUCAAUUGAAAUGGUCCGGGAACCCUCCAUGAUAUACACAUCUGGUUUGAAUUAUACCACGGUGGUUGCAUGCAAUUUGUCGAAGUCCGGGACACUAAGUCUGAAAUCUAGCAGUGCUGGUAAAUAAACCCACAUGGCAAAGGAAUGUCUAUCUUUGGCAAAGACAUUGGAGUAGUUGAUGCUUGAGCGAGACUUUACUAGGCAAAAUAACUGAGGUUUCUCGAUUGAGAGUCAUCUUCUGAUUCAACUCUCUUCUGGUUCUGGAAUCCAUGGCAGAUCCUUCAAUCUUUCCUCUCUGCAUAGCUUGUUCAAUUCUCCGGCAAAUCCUCACAACAUCAUUUCAAUCUUCCAAUGUUGUUGUGGUUGGUUGAGGAUUGUUAGAAAACUUUCCAACGGCUUGGUAAUCUUGGCAGCGCCCAGAAACUUGUAGUAUCGCCACUACCAACACGUGGAAUCAUGCCUUAUCUCUUCUAUGAGAGAAAAUGAUGAACAUGAAUCUCCUCUAUUUCUUCUUCGAUUCCUCUCGAAUGGUGCAGCAAACAAGCACCAAUAGAGGGAGUUCUGCUAUGUGGAAGUUUCAGUCUUCUUCAUGUUUUUCAGUCUAGGCAUGUCUCUUCUCUCUACUUUUGCGUUUUAAUACUGACACUGUUGGAGGAAAAUCAUAGAUAAUCUGAAACUACUGUAUUCCUUCUUGGAUUUCCCACUUGCGGAUCCACAAACAGAUUCCUGCUGAGAGAGCUCUACGUUGAAGUUUGAUGUCUGCUCAUAUUUUUCAGACCAAGUCUGGCUCUUUAACUUACUAAGAGGUUUUCGUGCUGAAACUGAUGAGAGAAAUAUUGGUAGCAUAUGCAACUUAUAAAUCCCCUCUUGCAUUCUCAAUUUGCAGAGCCAUAAAUGGAUUUUUGUAGAGAGAGCUCUGCCACAUUGAAGUUCAGUGUUUAAUCAUGGUUUUUCAGACCAACAUCUUGUGCUGCUGAACUGGAAUUGAGCUCAUAAUUGGGGUAACUUCAACAGCAGACUAAUGCACCAUGUACAUGAGGCUAGUAGUCAUUUGGUUCCAUUAGAUGAUGUGGAGGUGAUGAACACUUAACAAUGCAACUAGACAAGAAUCAGAGUUGUCAUUAGUUGAUGACUGAAGGCGUUGUUGUUUGUUCAUGACUGAAAAGGAGAGAUACAGCUUCAAUUGGACGUGAACAAGCAGUGUUCCCACAGAAGAAACAUUCUCUUUCCAUUUGAUGCUCAACACUUAUUCGAGCAUAUCUGAGUCCAUCUACUUCCCCUUUGAAGCUCUCAACCUUAAUAUGAUAAUGAGCCUCUAUCUGACACAUUUUUCACUUCCAUCAUCUUUCUUCAAUCACGUGCAGCACAGCUUAUGUGGGGACCUACCUUUCGACCCGGUACAUGCAUGAUAAAUGUAUGAACAUGUAAUCUAUAUGAUGAACUCACCCUUCGAGAGGUGACAAUAUGGCCGUAACUCUUGUAUGAUGGACAAGAAUCGUGAUUUUUGCCCAAACUCUAUAAUGAAAAUUUUCAGAGCAACGACCAAUGUGUCACCCACAAGUCUUGAGUUCAAGAUGCUUCAAGAAGGGUUUGCUGAUGCAAAAACGAAUACACAUACACCUAAGACAAGUUCUAUUCAUUUUACGUGAGACAGGGUAGGUUUGCUAUUUGGUCUCUAAAAGGGGUCUCUUGUUGUCCCGGUGAUUGCCCUCGUAAAGGCAAUAUAGGGGCCCAGUAGGUAAUUGGUUGGCACGUGUCCAACUAUUACCAGUCUAAGCACUCAACGAAGAGUUGGGGUUUACACAAACUUAAACCUUGACUCAAGUCAUAAGGUAAGCUGCUAGUCCCCUACCUAACUUAAAGUUUAAUGUGUGUGCUCAAAAAUAAAUACAGGUGAUGCAUGAGACAAUUCUAUAAAAUGCAUUGAAAUAACAAAAAUAAAAUAAGACAAAACACAAAAAACUUGAACACAUCAAAACACAAAGCUUAGUCCAAUAAUGUCAGAAUCAGAAACAGUACCCUCCCCAGUGGAGUCGCCAUUCUGUCGCACCCCAAAAAAAUCCGGCGCGCGGCAUUGGCUGGCGAUUUUUUCCUCGUUUGUUGUGUUGGCUUUGAAUUUGUUCGUUGGAGUCGCCACCUAGUAAUUCAUUGAGGGCUACUAGGAAACCUGAUGUACUGGUCUUUUCAGAGAUCGCGGGUAAGGGACUGGUUGUGGUUAGGGAAGGUAUUAGCACCCCUAACGCACCCUACCUGAGGUAAGCUGCUUUGUGUUCUGAUGUGAUUUGAAAAUUUAAAAUAUUAAUUAAAUUCUAAGGCUUGAAUAAAUCAGUUAUUAAAUCCCCGAAUAUAUGUAAAAACUUGUUCUUACAUUUUCAUGGAAAAUACAACUUGAUUUUAUUUGUCCUUGAGAUAUUUAACCAUAUUUAAGAAAAUUUAAAAUAUUAAUUAAAUUCUAAGGCUUGAAUAAAUCAGUUAUUAAAUCCCCGAAUAUAUGUAAAAAACUUGUUCUUACAUUUUCGUGGAAAAUACAACUUAAUUUUAUUUGUCCUUAAGAUAUUUAACCAUAUUUAAAUUAACAAUUAAUUCCUUUUGUUUUUUUUAUAAUUCAAUAAUAUAAAUAAAAAAUGCAAACACACACACAACUUUCUUUUUAUUAUUCAUUUUUUUCUUUUCUUUUUUCUUUUCUUUUCUUUUCCUUUACAUCCACAAAAUACAAAUAAUAAAAAUUCAAAAUUACAGAAAAGACAUUACACAAAUAAAAAAUUACAUAACAGCCCCUAAAAAAUCUAGGAAGCUGCUGGGAAGGCUUCUGGACCACAAAAACACUGGCGGCACGUCUCCUCCACGCGCCGCCACCACUAGCGGCGCGUCUCCUCCACGCGCCGCCGUGAAAACGACCGGAAAACAGGGGGGGUCUGUAACAGCCUCCUCCCCUAUUCCCUUCCUUGCCGGCGGUAGGAAACGUCACCUGCAAAGCCAAACACAAGCAGUCGUUUUCAAAUUUUUUUACUCCACGAUUUACGAGCCAUGAAAGUAUGAAAUAUUAAGGCAAAAGGAGGCUUUUAAAGCGCUUUGAAUUUCCUUAGAUUUCUAAAAAAAAUUUGUCCCUCCUUCUUGCGAUUUACGAGUCGCAAACUCUUGAAAUACUAAGGGAAAAAUGAGCUUUCAAAGCACAUGGAAUCUCCUUGGAUUUCUAUCCAAAUAAAUUUUAUUUGAAUCAAACCUAGGAAAAUUGAUGGGAUUAGAAAACACCAACACCAUAGCAAUUAUAGAGCAAACCAAACAUCAAGCAGCUUACCUUAGGUAGGGCGUACUAGGGGUGCUAAUACCUUCCCUUUACGUAACCAGUCCCUUGCCUUAGAAUCUCUGAAAGACCAGUUAGGGUUUAUGUCGCACCCUAAAAAAUCCAAUGCGGCAUCGGAUGGCGAUUUUUCGUUUUUGUUUUGCUGAUUUGGUUCUUUGGAGUCGCCACCUAGUAUUUUGGUCACUAGGAACCCUAACUGGUCUUUCAGAGGUAUUGUUUCUGACAAUAUUGGACUAAGCUUUGUAUAUUUGAUGUGUUUAAGUUUUUGUUUUUUUGUCUACUUUUUGUUAAUGUAUUUUCCAAGCAUUUUAUAGAAUUGUUUCAUGCAUCACUUGUUUUUAUUUUUGAAAGCACACACAACGUUGGAUCCUACUGCUCAACAGGACCCAAUAGUAUUGGGUUUAGCUCAGCCAGACCCAAAAUACUUCUAAAGGGAUGUGGGUCUAGCUACCCAGUAAGACCCAACGAUCUUGAGUCUAGGUGGGGAGCUGGACCCAAUAUCCUUGGGUCUGGCUAUGCACCCAUACCCAAAGAUAUUAUUAUUUGUAUUAUAAAUAUUAAAAAAUUUAUUAUUUGUAUUAUAAAUUUUUUGUAUAUAAUUAAAAGCAUUAAUGUAAAAAAUUGUAUUAUUGGUAUUAUAAAUAAUAUUAUAAUUAACAGUAUUAAAAUUAAAAAAUAGUAUUAUUCAUGUUAUAAAUAUUAUUAUUUUUACUAUAAUGAAUAGUAUUACUAUUAAAAAUAGUAUUAUUUUGUUAUAAAUACUGUAGAGCCCUGGGAGGCAUUCCUCUGCUAUGUUUUUUUGUCAAGAAUUUCGGUUGGGGGCGUUGCCUCCUCAACUAUGAUUUUUGUAAGAAUUACAGCUAGAGGCAUUGCCUCUUCUGUUAAAAGCUAUGGGGCUGGCUUGGCAGCUAGAGUCAACGCUCUUGGGUCUGGCCAAAAACACUUCGAAAAUAAGCCAUUAGUGUUGGGUUCUGUUGCCCAGCAUGGCCCAAUAAUGUUUGGUUUGGCUAAGUUAGACCCAAAACACUUUAAAACGGGGCUAGAUCUGGCUGGGCAAUAGGAUUCAAUGUCCUUAGGUCUGGUUGUGCAGCCAUAUCUAAGAAUAUUAUUAUUUGUAUUAUAAAUAUUUUAAAUUUUAUUAUAAUUAAUAUUAAAAUAUUAUUAUUUGUAUUAUAAAUAUUGUUUUUUAUUAUAAUUAAAAGUAUUAAUUUUUAAAAAUAGUAUUAUUUGGGUUAUAAAUAUUAUUUUUAUUUUUAUAAUAAUUAACAGUAUUAAUAUCAAAAAUAUUGUUACUUGUGUUAUAAAUAAUAUUAUUUUUAUUAUAAUUAAUAGUAUUAAUAUUAAAAAUAGUAUUAUCUAUGUUAUAAAUAUCAUAAGAACUUAAGUCAAAUGAGUUUAAUAUUAUUUUUAAUAUUAUAAAUAAUUAACAGUAUUAAUAUCAAAAAUAUUAUGGUCCCAGCUGGGACAUGGUAUAUCCUCCAAUGGUACAGUCGGAGGAUGGCAUGUGCGGUGGUAUAAGCGGUGUCACCGGACAUAAACGCAGAUUCUCCGAUAUGAUGCUCUGAAGGUAAUUUAGUUUUGCAAAAUCUGACUCUUCUAUCAAGCGGUCUCCAACUUGAGCGUCCAGUUCUGUUUUAGCUUUCCUUAGCACGUCUGGAUGGUUGAGUAGAUUGGCUAAUGCCCAUUCCAUAGAUGUAGCAGCAGUCUCUGUUCCCCCAAGCAACAACACCUACACAAAAUAUUUAGUGAAUUAAACUCAAGCCAGCUCCGACCCGAAAGCUAAGAUGAGAAGGGUUUACCUGCACAAAAUACUCAUAUUUCUUUGAAGUAUUUAGUGAGACUUGCAAGUAUGCUAGUAGUUGUUGCACCAAAUUCAUCAUAUAGAAAACGUAGAUUCAUCUACAUUAUACAAAGGCUUAAAUCAAGAGAAAGAUGCCCACCUGCGAUGAACAAGUUUGUUAUCUGAAAAUGGCUUGGAAUCUCCAUGGCAAUAUUUUUUUUGUCUUUUUUUCCCAUUAUUUGGCAUGCCAAUAUUUUUUUUCUCCUUUUUUCUCCAUUAUCUCCAUGCCAAUAUUUUUUUUCUCCCAUUAUUUGGCGCAUGCCAAUAAUGUUUUUCUCUUUUUCUCCCAUUUUUUGUCCUUAUCUUUCUCUUUCCUUAAUUUGGCUAAUUUAAAAACUGAAAUGAAAAAACACAAGGAAAACUAUCUAUCACGUGUUUGCACACGUGUCUUCAUCUAAUGGCGAUGCAUGUCAUGUCAUGCUACCAUCGAUGAUGAUCUUUAUUUUGUUGAUUUUAUCUUGUCAAAAAAAAUUUAUUAGUUUAAUACGUUGGAUUAGGUCGGGUUGAGAAAAAUACAUGAUGAAUUGUUUAAUACGUUGACACAAAAUUUGAUGAAGCGGUGGAGAGAAAAACAGGUGGCUUUAGGCAUAAUUUGUGGUUUUGUUUCCCUUUUUAGUGAAUGAAACUCUAAGAAAUUGAAAGGGGAGAUGAUACCAAAAGAUCAAACCGUAAGAAAAAUUGAGUGAAUCAAAACAAAAACAUCAUUUUUCCUUAACAAGUUAUGAUUGAAUCAACAUAAAAAGCGUUAGGUUUGACUAACCAGAACAUGGCCUUUGAUUAUGUCAUCAGUGUAGUAUUCAGGCUGUUCUUCUUGCAAAGCGAGAAACCGGUUUAUCAUAGUGUUUCUGUCCCUGUCAUCUCGAUGCUCAUCAACCAGUCCCUGUAAGAACACAUCCAUCUUCUUACUUAGUCUAUCCAACUUCUUCAAGUGGCCCCUAAUAUCAACCCACUGCAACAUUGGAAUCAGAUGCCCCACAUUUAUCAUGGAAAUAUAUGCAAAAAACACUUCCAAGAUCUCCCUCAAAAUCCUGGCCUCUUCAAUUUCCUUAACAUCUACGCAGAGGGAUGCAAAUACAGGGAAUAAGAUGGUUUAUGAACUCCAUCCUGUGAUGACACUCACAUCCAGUAAUCCUACUUGCAUGCAGGGAUUAUGAUGGGAAAGUUACUCCUGAGGAGGUGGCAGCUGCUGCGAUGUACUUGAAGGAUACAUCAGGCAAGGAAGGCAUCCAAGAACUCAUCAGCUGCUGCGAUGUACUUGAAGGAUGUAUCAUUUUGAAUGUGUCUGCAUGUUUCAACAUUCAUCACUUCUUAUUAGAGGAUUAAUGCAUUUGUUCUCUUGAGCUCAGCUCCUACAUGCAAACUGGUUUUGGUUCUAAGAAGCCACAUCUUAUUUUGCUGAAUUAUAGAAGACAUCUUAUCAUCUUUCCUCUUUUUACCAUGCCACAUGAAAAAAUAUUUCUUCGCCGCUAAAGCAAACAAGUCAUACCUCUUAUUUACCAAGAACCUAGUCAACAGAUAAUUUUCUCAAUCCAAUUGGGUGUUUUGAGUUGCUUAUGAAAAUCUAUCAAGGGUCAGAAAAUUAACAUGAUGCUUUUCUUCUACCUUGUAGUUUUUCUCUGCUUCUUGUCAUUUUGUUGAGCAUUUGCUAAAUUUAGUAUUUUCUUCUUUUUUACCUUGUAUAACUGAUGCCUAGAUCAUUUUGAAUCGAACAGAUGGAAAGAUUCUUGUAGAAGACAAUGUCAAAUUAGGCAGUUGGACGGAAGAUGCCAAAGCAACUGAAGAGAGGGAGAUGUAAAACAAUUUUCCUUCAAAUUCUUUCCUGCUGUUGUCUGGAUAGUACCCUACCUAACGAAUAGUUUAUUUAACGAUAAAAUGGCAUGCCAUCUAAUGUGAUUAGGACCCAUAUCUGUUAGGGUCAUAUAUAUACAAGUAACCUUGGUUUUCCCAGCUCAUUGAUAAAGCUGGACAUGCUUGCUAGUGCUGUAAAAGUGAAUUCUGAUGAAUAUAUAAAUGAUAUAGGUACACAGUACAGAACAAGAAAUCGAUAUAUCUCGUGCCUUUGGAAAUAAAAUGCUCUGUCAAGUUUAUUCUUCAGAUUGAGAAAUCAUGCUUUUGCAUAUGGUGUUGAUCUAGUUGAAUUAGGUGGAUGUGUAAUCAAGUUUAUGAUUGAGGCAAACCACAUCAGCUAAAUAAGAUGCAUUUUCAAGUUUUAAGGCCAUGCAUAUGUAGGCUUUCACACCUUUGAAUCUUUGGUUUCAUGGAACUUCAUUGCAAGUUCUGCUGCAAAUUCCGUAAUAUUCUUAUCAGAGCUUCCGCCUUCAUCCACUGCUGUUUUGGCCAGUUUCAUCCAUUUCUCAGAGUUCCUUCUCAUCUCAUUCCCUCUUAAUUUCACCUUCCAUGACUUCCCUUAUACACCCUUCUACCUCUUCUUUAGUGACAAUCCCCUUUUCAUUUUCAUUCACUCUAUAUAACCCCUAGAUGCCAAACAUCGGCAAUGCACUUUGCAUUUGUUGGUUGAUCAGUCCACUCUGGCAUUGCCACCAUUGGCACUCCUAAGCUCAACGCCUCGAGUGUUGAGUUCCACCCACAAUGAGUCAUGAAGCAACCAACGACGGACUUGUGAGCCAGAACCUCUAGCUGCGGGCUCCAGGUCACAAGCAGAGAUUUCUUUGAUGACUCCUCCACAAAGUUGCUUGGAAGUUUUUUCCUUUCCGAUUCUCUGACUACCUACAGGAAGCAGCAGGAACUCCUCUUUAGGCCCCAAGCAAUUUCUGCCAUUUGCUCCUCUCCAAGUGCAGCCAUGCUUCCAAAUGACACAUAAACCACUAAGCCAGUUUCCUUUGAAUAUAGCCACUCAUUGCACCCGUCCGGAUUGGGAUUGAAGAGGCUGAGACCGUACUCUUUAUCGUCCUCCAGCUGCUUGUCCAAGUAAAAUGAUGGGAUCAUUGGUCCUAUUGGCUUUAUUGACCUUUGGCUUGCCAACCAGUUUACCGCCUGAUGGAAAUCAACAAAAUUUUGAGUGCCACUGAAGUAAAAGGAGCAUACUUUGAAAUAUGGUAUCGUCUUGUGAGCAAAGAAAAGAGAUUGUAAGUAGGAAUUUGAAGCAUUGCUGCUCUCGUUUAUGUUGCUUUGCUUGUCAAUCAUUUGUUGACUGCUUGCUUGUUUGAUCGCACUUAUUUUCAAGUAUUAUUUGUCAUAAUACUGGAAAACUUUGUGGACUUUUGUUGAAACUCAAGGUAACUGCUGAGCCACUUUAUGUGAGGUUUGCUCAAUAAGUAAGCAUAGAGGCCCAUUCCUCCUCGUGUCUGGUCUUCUUUGUCCAGCUCUCAAUUAUGUACUCAUAUUUGACUAGAAAUAGAAUCACUACAAGGCUGCUGGCAUGGUAUCUUCAUAUUUACACGAAAACAUUGUUUUUCAUGGGCUUUUCUACCCAGUUCUCAGUAAACUUUGUGGACUUUUGUUGAAACUCAAGGAAAUAGCUAUUUUCAAGGUUUACAUGGAAAUAGCUUGACUCAUAGCUUGAUCUGGGCUAGUUUUCAAGUUGAAUUGAAACGAACUUUAGCAUAAAUGGCUCGGUUGAAUUCACACGCGAUAAUCU